GGGCUGUAGCUCAGUGGAAGAGCAUCUGCUUUGCAUGCAGAAUGUCCCAGUUUCAGUCUAUGGCAUGUUCA
Non-coding RNA from Podarcis lilfordi (Lilford's wall lizard), 71 nucleotides. NCBI's taxonomy places the organism in Eukaryota, Metazoa, Chordata, Lepidosauria, Squamata, Lacertidae. The record is from the annotation of a GenBank genome assembly.